UACGUAGGGUCCGAGCGUUGUCCGGAAUUAUUGGGCGUAAAGAGCUCGUAGGUGGUGUGUCGCGUCUGCUGUGUAAGUCCGGGGCUCAACUCCGGUUUUGCAGUGGAUACGGGCAUGCUAGAGGUAGGUAGGGGAGACUGGAAUUCCUGGUGUAGCGGUGAAAUGCGCAGAUAUCAGGAGGAACACCGGUGGCGAAGGCGGGUCUCUGGGCCUUACCUGACGCUGAGGAGCGAAAGCGUGGGGAGCGAACAGG
This 253-nucleotide ribosomal RNA is filed under the name uncultured bacterium. RNAcentral describes it as "partial 16S ribosomal RNA". It matches the Rfam family "Bacterial small subunit ribosomal RNA", at positions 524 to 776 of the family's 1533-position model. The record is from RNAcentral.